GGGCCCGCACAAGCGGUGGAGCAUGUGGUUUAAUUCGAUGCAACGCGAAGAACCUUACCAGGGUUUGACAUAGUACGAAGUUUUUUGAAAAAAAACCACCUUCGGGAACGUACAUACAGGUGGUGCAUGGCUGUCGUCAGCUCGUGUCGUGAGGUGUCAGGUUAAGUCCUAUAACGAGCGCAACCCCCUAUCGUUAGUUGCCAGCGAGUAAUGUCGGGAACUCUAACGAAACUGCCAGUGCAAACUGUGAGGAAGGUGGGGAUGACGUCAAAUCAUCACGGCCCUUACGUCCUGGGCUACACACGUGCCACAAUGGCCGGUACAGAGAGCAGCCACUUCGCAAGAAGGAGCGAAUCUAUUAAAACCGGUCUCAGUUCGGAUCGGAGUCUGCAACUCGACUCCGUGAAGCUGGAAUC
This 416-nucleotide ribosomal RNA is filed under the name uncultured bacterium. Its description in RNAcentral is "bacterial SSU rRNA". It matches the Rfam family "Bacterial small subunit ribosomal RNA", at positions 917 to 1333 of the family's 1533-position model. The record is from RNAcentral.